This 253-nucleotide ribosomal RNA is filed under the name uncultured bacterium. Its description in RNAcentral is "partial 16S ribosomal RNA". It matches the Rfam family "Bacterial small subunit ribosomal RNA", at positions 524 to 776 of the family's 1533-position model. The record is from RNAcentral.
AACGUAGGAGACAAACGUUAUCCGGAGUUACUGGGCGUAAAGGGCGUGUAGGUGGUUGCGUAAGUCUGGCGUGAAAUUUUUCGGCUUAACCGGGAAAGGUCGUCGGAUACUGCGUAGCUAGAGGACGGUAGAGGCGUGUGGAAUUCCGGGUGUAGUGGCGAAAUGCGUAGAGAUCCGGAGGAACACCAGUGGCGAAGGCGACACGCUGGGCCGUACCUGACACUGAUGCGCGACAGCAUGGGGAGCAAACAGG